GGCAAAGCCCUGGUGCUUCUGUCUUUCCCACCUGUCUUGUUCUGGCUGCUUCAGGUGUGGUGCUGUGGACCAACAGUGAUGCUGUUGCCUGAGACCUGAGAUGCCCAUCUAUAGGCAGGACACGGGGACCUGAUGAAUUGGAAAGUCCAUUUUUACAAGGCCCUGGGAGACCCAAGGCACAUAGUUGAGGAAACACCGCUAUCUGUUCUAAGGUUACAGCAUGCUGUGAAGAAAAACUCCUAAUGAUGCAAAAGCCGCAGGGAGAAAACCUUAUUUUGUGAUUUACGCUUAUGAGCAGUCACAGCACACGUCAAGAGUAUGCCAUGGGACACACUUCUACUGUAGAGAAUCUGUUAUGUACUGUAUGGAAGCAUCACCUAUCCAUAAGAAGCUGAUGGCCUGCUACCUGAGGCAGGAAGGAAAUAGGUGGAAGCUCUGGUAGGGAAGAUGAGUCUGGGAUAAUCAGGCGAGGGGACAGAAUUGCCCCUGGCCAUGGAAUAGAAUAAACGCGUUGGUUAAGUUACAAUGGAGUCAGAACAAGCCCAAGCUUGUAAUUCAGUCUCAGGUGUCUUUAUUCUGGGAACAAAGAGGCUAGGAGGAAAAGCCUGCAGCUGCAUUGCUAUAGUUUUAUAAUUGCUAUAAUUUUAUAAUUAUAAUUAAGUUGCUUUUCCACCUUUAAGAUAUCAACUUUAGUUGUAUAGUAAAUGUUUAAAUGUUUAAGGUUCAUGUUGUUGUAGACAUGGCUACCCUUGAACUCAGUCGUGUGGCCCAGCCUGAAUCUGGUUUUUGUUUUUCAAAUACAAACUCACAAAGGAAGACUAGUAGAAAAGAAAAUUUCAAUUCAAAGGUUUUUAAUUUCCUUAAAUAUUUCUUAUAUGUACUGUUCCACAUUGUGGAAAUAAACUAAGCAGAACAUUGAACGUUUUUGAACAAUGGUACAAAUAUAUAUAUAGACAAACCUAAACAGGCAACAGGCUUCAAUUGGAAGUUUAUGCUACAAAGAUGGUACUUGGGAAUCCAGCUGAAAAGAGGCCGGUUCUCAAUCCUUUGUGGUCACUGCAGCUGUACUCUGUAUGCACCUAUUAGCAAUUUAACCUAAAGAAGAGAAUGAAUGUGUCAGUACACAAAUCCCACCUUGUAAGGACAUCCAAGUUAUUGCUAUAUUUAAUCCCACUAGUUAAUAUAUUGGGUAAUCAUUAUUGGAAUGGUCUAAGUAGUGCAGCAUACUUUUUUCAUAUGGAGAGAUCUUUCCUAUGAGGGUAGUGACAGUUUAGUACUGAAGUCAAGUCAAGAUUUGGAGUGCUCAGCAGGGAUGUUCCCCCAGACUUGCCAAGCUUCAUCAGAGAGCCAAAUUCCAACACUUAGACCCAUCUGUUUGCCCAACAUAGACAUUCUAGUAGAAAGAACUUGUCUGAACUAUGUCUACUGACAUUUCCAGUGACAGUGAAUUUAUUAAUAUUACUAUUAUUAUGUGAGCAGUUACUGUGUAAAUACGAAGCAAAGAUUUUCACCUUGGCAAAGGGUGCUUCCGUCAACCUUAUAAACAACUUAUUGGGACCAGCAACAGGACUGAAUGAAUAAACAAAGUGACUGUCCUAGAGGGGAAAGAGAUGAGAUAAAGUCAGACUCAAGUCAGAGCUGUGACAUUUAUAAGAGACCAGGAACUCAAAACAGCGAACUGAGGGUUUUUUUGUUUUUUUUAAUUUUGAGAUAGGAUCUCUCUAUGUAGCCCCCCAAAAGCCUCUCUCAAGGCUUAGCAGGUCUGCUAAGAGUUCUAGGCUACUUAGGGCCGAAAUAAAAACAACACAUGGCUCCAUUCUAUAUAAGGCAUUAAUUUAUUAGCUUUUGGGAAGAGUAAGAGUGAUGGUGUGCUAUAAUUAUCUAUUAUAUUCUCACACUGUUGUCUAAGGACAUAUGGUAGCACGAUUUAAAGUGAAUAAACAUGUUCU
RNAcentral lists this long non-coding RNA (1949 nucleotides) under Mus pahari (shrew mouse). RNAcentral's name for it is "lncRNA (MGP_PahariEiJ_G0006398.1)". The record is from RNAcentral. Lineage: Eukaryota; Metazoa; Chordata; Mammalia; Rodentia; Muridae.